CGCGUAGGCGGGUUCGCAAGUCUGUGGUGAAAGCCUCCAGCUUAACUGGAGAAGUGCCGUGGAUACUGCGAAUCUUGAGGAGGGUAGGGGCAUCUGGAACGGUCGGUGGAGCGGUGAAAUGCGUUGAUAUCGACCGGAACUCCGGUGGCGAAGGCGAGGUGCUGGACCCUUUCUGACGCUGAGGCGCGAAAGCCAGGGGAGCAAACGG
Molecule: ribosomal RNA, 208 nt
Filed under: uncultured bacterium
Lineage: Bacteria
Description: partial 16S ribosomal RNA
Rfam family: Bacterial small subunit ribosomal RNA
Source: RNAcentral